RNAcentral lists this ribosomal RNA (450 nucleotides) under uncultured bacterium. RNAcentral's name for it is "partial 16S ribosomal RNA". It matches the Rfam family "Bacterial small subunit ribosomal RNA", at positions 354 to 796 of the family's 1533-position model. The record is from RNAcentral.
GUGGGGAAUUUUGGACAAUGGGCGCAAGCCUGAUCCAGCAAUGCCGCGUGCAGGAAGAAGGCCUUCGGGUUGUAAACUGCUUUUGUACGGAACGAAACGGUCCGGGUUAAUACCCUGGGCUAAUGACGGUACCGUAAGAAUAAGCACCGGCUAACUUCGUGCCAGCAGCCGCGGUAAUACGUAGGGUGCAAGCGUUAAUCGGAAUUACUGGGCGUAAAGCGUGCGCAGGCGGUUUUGUAAGACAGGCGUGAAAUCCCCGGGCUCAACCUGGGGAUUGCGCUUGUGACUGCAAGGCUGGAGUGCGGCAGAGGGGGAUGGAAUUCCGCGUGUAGCAGUGAAAUGCGUAGAUAUGCGGAGGAACACCGAUGGCGAAGGCAAUCCCCUGGGCCUGCACUGACGCUCAUGCACGAAAGCGUGGGGAGCAAACAGGAUUAGAUACCCGGGUAGUCC